Molecule: non-coding RNA, 197 nt
Filed under: Oscillospiraceae bacterium
Lineage: Bacteria; Bacillati; Bacillota; Clostridia; Eubacteriales; Oscillospiraceae
Description: 6S RNA
Rfam family: 6S / SsrS RNA
About the family: E. coli 6S RNA was the first non coding RNA to be sequenced, but its function was unknown until recently. It consists of 184 nucleotides that fold into an extended hairpin structure with a large single-stranded internal bulge.
Source: RNAcentral
GACAUCCUGCGCGGUGCGUGAUGAGCCUUUUUUAUCCUGACAUAUGUUAUAGGGGAUGUCGGAUCAGUAUGUGGUUUGCAGGCCUCCCGACUGCUGUCUGCGGUUGGAUGUUGGAAGCAGUAAAGCAAGCUGGAGACAACCCACCUGCUAAAUUGGUGCAGGUUAUAACUUGGCUCCCACCGCCUCGCGGGAUCGAA